This is a long non-coding RNA of Arabidopsis thaliana (thale cress), 240 nucleotides long. RefSeq annotates it as other RNA. NCBI's taxonomy places the organism in Eukaryota, Viridiplantae, Streptophyta, Magnoliopsida, Brassicales, Brassicaceae. The record is from RefSeq. The transcript has a single exon.
AAUUCUUUCUAACCCGACUCACUUGUAUUUUAAACCAGGAAAAACUACACGAGAGCGUUGCAUAAACAUGAAGAACUGUUCUGUUUUGGGUUUAUGAUAGAGAUAAGCAUAAGUUAGUAGAUUUGGUAGGAGUAGAUAUUGGAGAUAAGGGUAGGAUUAGGGUAAUUAAUGAAGAUUAGGUGCAAAACGGCUAAAAAGAUUAACAUGGUGGAGCUUGGAGCCCACGUCUUCUCCGUACAG